GCGUGAGGGAUGACGGCCUUCGGGUUGUAAACUCUUUUGUCAGGGAAGAUGAUGACGGUACCUGGCGAAUAAGCCACGGCUAACUACGUGCCAGCAGCCGCGGUAAUACGUAGGUGGCAAGCGUUGUCCGGAUUUACUGGGCCGUAAAGAGCGCGUCAGGCGGUCGUUCAAGUCGCGUGUGAAAGCCCCCGGCUCAACUGGGGAGGGUCACGCGAUACUGAUCGACUCGAAGGCAAGGAGAGGGUAGUGGAAUUCCCGGUGUAGUGGUGAAAUGCGUAGAUAUCGGGAGGAACACCAGUGGCGAAAGGCGACUACCUGGACCUGUUCUUGACGCUGAGGCGCGAAAGCUAGGGGAGCAAACGGGAUUAGAUACCCCGGUAGUCCUAGCCGUAAACGAUGGACACUAGGUGUUGGUGCUAUCAACCCCGCCAGUGCCGAAGCUAACGCAUUAAGUGUCCCGCCUGGGGAGUACGGCCGCAAGGCUA
Molecule: ribosomal RNA, 485 nt
Filed under: uncultured bacterium
Lineage: Bacteria
Description: bacterial SSU rRNA
Rfam family: Bacterial small subunit ribosomal RNA
Source: RNAcentral